This is a long non-coding RNA of Tyto alba (common barn owl), 1763 nucleotides long. RefSeq lists it as uncharacterized. Lineage: Eukaryota; Metazoa; Chordata; Aves; Strigiformes; Tytonidae. The transcript has 2 exons. The record is from RefSeq and is a predicted model, not a curated record.
GAAGCCUAACAGUUUGCCACAAAAAAGUUGGUACUAAGCUUUGAGCCCCAAGUUUCCACAGGCAGUGACAACUGAAAACCUGGAUUGCGUUGCUGAAGAAGCAGGAGACAGUGAGAGGACAAGUGAGAUUCGGAGAACAACCCUCUGACCUUUAGAAGGAAACAGCUGUCACUUCCGGAAGCAUCCUGCUUUUCUGUCAAGUUUGAAGAAAAAUGUUGAACAGGUACAGUGUCAUUUGAAGAAAUACAAAUAAGGAAUAAUGUAGAGUAAUUGAAUAGUGAGCAAAUCCACUUGAAAACAUUUGCUAGCAAGUCAGUCAAUAGAAUGUUGUUCCACACGUUUCCAUUUGAAGAGAUUCUCAUUUUAUGUGUUAUAUGCUGUCUUGCUUAGAUAAUGCUACAUGUUUAAUCUUUCAUAUAAAGAUUCCUUCCCCUUUAAAAUCCCCAUUAAGUCCAUCAGAGUUACAUUUGAAAAUAAUUCCAGCUUCUAAGUCAUUCAUGAACUUCGUAUAGUUAACACUCUCAGGGAGGAUUUUUUUUUUUCAUUUGAGUAUGAUUAAUUUGUCAAAUUUGAUUGCCUCAUACUUGGGCUUAGUUUUCACCAGUGUAAUAGGAGUUCAGAAUGGUAUCUGACUUGACUAUAUUUGUAUAUUGAGAGAAUAUAGGCAAAUGCUGCAUAUGAUGUGAAAUUCGCAGGCAUGUGCCACGUUGUAAAUCCUUACUUACACAGCACUAGAAACUUCUAAAGCAUAAGGAAUAGCCUCAUUUCAAAACCUGCUUUAAUUGUCAGUACCUGCUACCUAGAAAUUGAUGGGCUUUUAUUCAUGCUUAUUUCUUUCUGUUAAGCAUAAGUUGGUGGCUGUUAAAGGUUCCCUCCUCAGUCUGGAAACAGUCAUGGGAGUUCACUCGUAAAAAGAAGAGCAAGGUGGAUGCGUAAGAAAUAUGGGAUUUUGCAGGGAAAGGAACAAAAUAAGAACAUAGUCCAGAGCUUGUAGGCCAGCACUUGGUUUGAUUCAAGCUGAUUUGCCUCUAGCUACUUUUGCCCCUUCCUCUCUGCCCUUAUUACAUUUGAUGGUGUUGCAGGAGGCACGGAUAUUACUGUGUGAGAUGCAAUGCCCACUAUGUGUUCAUGCAACACCAUUGCAAUACAUAUAAUUUGUACUAUCCAUGUUUGUGGACAUGCAACAUAAAGGAGCACAAAAUAAUCCUCUGGAAUGCUACAGUUGUUGGCCAUUUUGUUAUAUUUUGUUCUAUUCUGUAGCCUGAAUCAGCCAUCAACCUUAUUUCUGUUCUUAAAGGGAAAAUGACCAUGUUCAUUUUACAGGAUUAAAAAGAUUGAGUUUUCCUGUAAAAUUGCAGUGUAGAAUUUGUUGUGAACCAAAUAGAGCUGACUCCAUUGACUACAGCAGAAUAAUUUGCAGCCAGAAUUGAAUUGUGCUCUUAAAAUCUAAUUUUAACAAGGUUUUCAGAAAUAGGCUGAAGUAGCUUGUUUUUUGUCCUCUGUGCAUUUUGAAUUUUAGGGAAAACCUAAACUUAGUGUGUUAAUGCAGUUGUAGCAUAUGGUUAUGGAAUAGAAAUGGUUUUUCAUGAAAACCCAGUUUAAGUUACUGUGUUGAACCUCUCAGUACAGCUGGAUUCUUCAUUCAGAUUCUCUGUAAAUUCCUGAUCUCAAGAUAAUUCAAACACACAAUUAUCACAGAGGUUUUUUUGAAGCCCAUGCGGGGCUACUCCAAACAGGAGGUGCAAUAGGAAGCUCCGCUGUAU